CUGUAUACAUGUUUACUGACAGCAAGCCACAAAUUACAUGGAUCAGAAUUGGGGGUUUUAGACCCGUGGAGCAACUGGGUAACUGCCCAGUGUGUCUAUGCCUUGAAAUGGCACUGGUUGUAAUUUGGAAAGCAACAGCUUGAUGAGAAAUGUUUUGUCAGUUCCUGCAGGAGCAUUAGGAGAAAAAUCCUGUUUGAAAAACAAAGGAAAUCCCCUCUUGAAUGUAAGCAUUGCAGAAUGAUUUUUAAACUGGUAUCAAUUUUGGUCCAUUCUCACUAACAUCCUGACAGGCAUACCCUUCAUAGAAAAAAAAAAAUUUAUAGGUAUUAAUACUGCAUUGUAGAUUUCAUCACUUUAUUCUGUUUUCCUGUAAGGACAUUACAACUGUAUCUGAUAUCUGUACAAAAUUGAUUCUGUACUUUAGCCAUAUUGAUUUACUCUAGAUCUUUUAGAGUAGAGUUGCAAACAGUGUUCACAUACUUCCUUGUGCAAAACCCAGAAACCAUCAACAUUUCAACCAAAGAUUGACCAUCAGCCUAUAGCAAUUCUAAAUGUAAAAUAUGCUUUUUUCAUAAGAAGUGCAAAUAUUACCAUCAAUGGUUCGAAGAUAGAGAAGCAAUAUGGAACUACAGAUUUCAUACAGAAGCAGUAAAAGCUUUUACUUAAAACUGCUUCUGUGUGAAAUCUGUAGUUCCAUAUUGCUUCUCUGUCUUCAAGGCUAAGGAUUGGUGAGCAGUAGUUUCUAUACAGCCACUGGACGGUAUCAAUCAUGAAUAGGGAAUCUAAGUAUUUUCCAAAAUGCCUCACUGCUGUUCAUACUCGACUACAACUGAAGUUUUGUAUCUUAAACCUGAAAUAUUUUGUUUCAGAAUAGUGAACAUCGCAGCUCAUGAUCGUAAAGUAAUGAGUUUGAUUCCUGGCAGCAUGUCGUUUCCUUAGCAAACACUUUAUUUCAUGUUGCUCCUGUCUGCUCAGUUGGCAAAAAUGAGUUGUACCUGAUAGACUUUAUGGCAGUUACAAUAUUCAACAUAGCAUGUAGGCAUUAAAUUGUUUUGAUUUUUUAAAAAAAUGGCAAUAAGGCACUUUCUAUUGAUUGCCAAUUUUUGUUUCAAAAUCUCAACCUUGUGAUGCCCAUCUUUUGUAUGAUGGGUAUUUAUCGUCACCUGUUUGUUUCUUUAAUCCUCUAGCAUUUAAACCAAUCAUAUUUAGCUAAAAUAUUCUUCAUGCUUUAUGCUCAAACUGACCAGAUCUGGCCUCUCACACCAACCCCACAAUAUCAUUCUAAACAACAGUUUGCUCAUCAAAAUCUCAAAACAAUGUGAAUAAAUAGGCGCAGGAUUUGACAGAAUAAUUUGAAUGCUAAAGGAUUUUGUAAACUUAUUGUCCUUGAUGCAGGGAGAGGUGAGGUUGUUCUUUUUUGAUGCAUUUUCAUUUGACACAAUCUCUUUGAUUCUAUUAAAUUGUCAGUCUUUUGUCAUACAUAUCAGUCAUAUGAUCAAUGUUUGAUUUGACAAUUUCUUAAUGUCCUUUGGUGACAUUUGGAGAUUCUGCUGAUAUCAUAGAACCAAUCUAGUUAUAGUGAAUUCUGUGCGAAAACCAAAUUAAAAUAUAUGUCCCUUAUUUUGUUUAUUUAUUUUCCCAUUCACUUGGACAUAUAUGACCACACACUGGUUGAAAUAGGUGUGAAUUGUAACGUCUAUCAAUGUGGAAAUUUUCAUAUGAAAAGCUUUAUCAAUUAACUAAUUAACUCAUGUCUGUCAGUGUAUAGUUG
Molecule: long non-coding RNA, 1771 nt
Organism: Octopus sinensis (East Asian common octopus)
Lineage: Eukaryota; Metazoa; Mollusca; Cephalopoda; Octopoda; Octopodidae
Exons: 2
Source: RefSeq, a predicted model, not a curated record